RNAcentral lists this ribosomal RNA (254 nucleotides) under uncultured bacterium. Its description in RNAcentral is "partial 16S ribosomal RNA". It matches the Rfam family "Bacterial small subunit ribosomal RNA", at positions 524 to 776 of the family's 1533-position model. The record is from RNAcentral.
UACGUAGGGUGCAAGCGUUGUCCGGAAUUAUUGGGCGUAAAGAGCUCGUAGGCGGUCUGUCGCGUCUGCUGUGAAAACCUAGGGCUUAACUCUGGGCGUGCAGUGGGUACGGGCAGGCUAGAGUGCGGUAGGGGAGACUGGAAUUCCUGGUGUAGCGGUGAAAUGCGCAGAUAUCAGGAGGAACACCGGUGGCGAAGGCGGGUCUCUGGGCCGAUACUGACGCUGGAGGAGCGAAAGCGUGGGGAGCGAACAGG